RNAcentral lists this ribosomal RNA (465 nucleotides) under uncultured bacterium. Its description in RNAcentral is "partial 16S ribosomal RNA". It matches the Rfam family "Bacterial small subunit ribosomal RNA", at positions 338 to 795 of the family's 1533-position model. The record is from RNAcentral.
CCUACGGGGGGCAGCAGUGGGGAAUAUUGCGCAAUGGGCGAAAGCCUGACGCAGCGACGCCGCGUGAGGGAUGAAGGUCUUCGGAUCGUAAACCUCUGUCAGCAGGGAAGAACGGUCACUGUGCUAAUCAGCAGUGAAUUGACGGUACCUGCAAAGGAAGCACCGGCUAACUCCGUGCCAGCAGCCGCGGUAAUACGGAGGGUGCGAGCGUUAAUCGGAAUUACUGGGCGUAAAGCGCUCGUAGGCGGUAUGUCAAGUCAAGGGUGAAAUCCCCGCGCUCAACGUGGGAACUGCCUUUGAAACUGGUAAACUGGAGUGUGUGAGAGGAUGGUGGAAUUACAGGUGGAGGAGUAAAAUCCGUAGAGAUCUAGAGGAAGAUCAGGGGCGAAGGCGACUAGCUGGAACAUAACUGACGCUGAGGAGCGAAAGCGGGGGGAGCAAACAGGAUUAGAGACCCGAGUAGUC